Molecule: ribosomal RNA, 428 nt
Filed under: uncultured bacterium
Lineage: Bacteria
Description: bacterial SSU rRNA
Rfam family: Bacterial small subunit ribosomal RNA
Source: RNAcentral
UGGGGAAUAUUGCGCAAUGGGCGAAAGCCUGACGCAGCGACGCCGCGUGGGUGAUGAAGGCCUUCGGGUCGUAAAGCCCUGUCGGGAGGGACGAAACCUCGGUGACCUAAUACGUCACCGACCUGACGGUACCGUAAGAAGAAGCACCGGCUAACUACGUGCCAGCAGCCGCGGUAAUACGUAGGGUGCGAGCGUUAAUCGGAAUUACUGGGCGUAAAGCGUGCGCAGGCGGUUUCGUAAGACAGAUGUGAAAUCCCCGGGCUUAACCUGGGAACUGCGUUUGUGACUGCAAGGCUGGAGUACGGCAGAGGGGGGUGGAAUUCCACGUGUAGCAGUGAAAUGCGUAGAGAUGUGGAGGAACACCGAUGGCGAAGGCAGCCCCCUGGGCCUGUACUGACGCUCAUGCACGAAAGCGUGGGGAGCAAACA